RNAcentral lists this non-coding RNA (1019 nucleotides) under Blumeria hordei DH14. RNAcentral's name for it is "Blumeria graminis f. sp. hordei DH14 Bacterial large subunit ribosomal RNA". It matches the Rfam family "Bacterial large subunit ribosomal RNA", at positions 839 to 1819 of the family's 2925-position model. The record is from Rfam by way of RNAcentral. Lineage: Eukaryota; Fungi; Ascomycota; Leotiomycetes; Helotiales; Erysiphaceae.
UAGGAAAUAGCUGGUUUUCUGCGAAACCUAUAAAAGUAGGUAAUUUAAGUAACAUCAUAGCAGGUACAGAACUGUGUUCUCAGGCAACUUAGAAAUAUUUUGCAUAUAUCGGGCAAUCGUGAAGAUUUUAUCGGUGAGUAAUCGCACUCGGAAUGGUUAUGAUGAAUAUUAAAUAAUCGGACAUAGUACGCUAAGGUUGUAUUGUCUAAAGGGAAACAGCCCAGAACAAGAGUUUAAGGUUCCAAAUUUAUUGUUAAGUGAAAUUAAGGAUGUUUCUGUAAAAAACGGCCAGGAAAUUGGCUUAGAAGCGGCCAUUUUUUUGAAGAUCUCGUAAAAGAGCACUGGUUUAGUAUAUUUUAUACGUGAAUAGUAGCACCGAAGAUUUAACGGAUCUAAACAAUAUACCGACACCUUGUCCAUAAAAAGGAUGAGCUUGUAGACAGCUCGUAUUUUUAUGGGGUAGCAGAACGUUAGGGUAAAUAACACGGUUUAUUGUUUUUAACAAUAAAUAUAAGAUAACCCAAGUGAUAAUGCUGACAUGAGUAACGAAAAAGGGGUUAUACCCUCGCCUAAAAGCUUAUGGUAUUUUUAAAAUAAGUAACGGCCUCUAAGUUUACCCAACCUAAAGGAUUAAACGAUGAGAAAAUCUUUUAGUUACUUAGUAACAACCUUCCUUCUUAUGUAACCAAGUCACCUUGCGGAGGGGUUUGCUUGGAAAUAUUAUUGCCAAGUACCGGCGGAAGGCGGGCAUAAGAAAAGUUGAGGGAGGUUCUGGAAAAACAGUGACAAACCUGCUUCCGGUAGUACGGAAGGAAAGGGGGAAAACAAAACCGUACCUAAAUACCACCUCAGGUAAGCUAGUAGAGAAUACGAAGGCGUUUGAGUGAACAAUCAUUAAGGAACUCGGCAAACUAACUACCGUAACUUCGGAAUAAGGAGUGCCAUUCCUCUUCAUUAAUAUGAGGUAAAGAAUAGGAAGCAUGGAAUAGUGUUGUACGACUGUUUAAUUAAAACAAAGC